GGAAAGUCGUAACGGGUAGCCGUAAGUCUUAAUAGGUACCCGUAGAGUUUGAUCUUGGUCCCUGAAAUCCUUACCGGGGGGGUGAGUAACUCUUGGGUAACCUGCCUGUAAGACUGGGAUAACUCCGGGAAACCGGGGCUAAUACCGGAUAACACCUACCCCCGCAUGGGGGAAGGUUGAAAGGUGGCUUCGGCUAUCACUUACAGAUGGACCCGCGGCGCAUUAGCUAGUUGGUGAGGUAAUGGCUCACCAAGGCGACGAUGCGUAGCCGACCUGAGAGGGUGAUCGGCCACACUGGGACUGAAACACGGCCCAAACUCCUACGGGAGGCAGCAGUAGGGAAUCUUCCGCAAUGGACGAAAGUCUGACGGAGCAACGCCGCGUGAGUGAAGAAGGUUUUCGGAUCGUAAAACUCUGUUGUUAGGGAAGAACAAGUGCCGUUCGAAUAGGGCGGCACCUUGACGGUACCUAACCAGAAAGCCACGGCUAACUACGUGCCAGCAGCCGCGGUAAUACGUAGUGGCAGGCGUUGUCCGGAAUUAUUGGGCGUAAGCGCGCGCAGUGGUUUCUUAAGUCUGAUGUGAAAGCCCCCGCUCACCGUGGAGGGUCUUGGAAACUGGGGAACUUGA
RNAcentral lists this ribosomal RNA (629 nucleotides) under Bacillus sp. HPC961. RNAcentral's name for it is "bacterial SSU rRNA". It matches the Rfam family "Bacterial small subunit ribosomal RNA", at positions 56 to 645 of the family's 1533-position model. The record is from RNAcentral. Lineage: Bacteria; Bacillati; Bacillota; Bacilli; Caryophanales; Bacillaceae.